AGCGAACGCUGGCGGCAGGCCUAACACAUGCAAGUCGAGCGCCCCGCAAGGGGAGCGGCAGACGGGAGAGUAACACGUGGGAACGUACCCUUCAGUUCGGAACAACCCAGGGAAACUUGGGCUAAUACCGAAUACGUCCGUAAGGAGAAAGAUUUAUCGCUGAAGGAUCGGCCCGCGUCCGAUUAGCUAGUUGGUGAGGUAACGGCUCACCAAGGCGACGAUCGGUAGCUGGUCUGAGAGGAUGAUCAGCCUCACUGGGACUGAGACACGGCCCCGACUCGUACGGGAGGCAGCAGUGGGGAAUAUUGGACAAUGGGCGCAAGCCUGAUCUAGCCAUGCCGCGUGGAUGAUGAAGGCCCUAGGGUUGUAAAGUCCUUUCGGCGGGGAAGAUAAUGACGGUACCCGCAGAAGAAGCCCCGGCUAACUUCGUGCCAGCCGCCGCGGUAA
RNAcentral lists this ribosomal RNA (447 nucleotides) under uncultured bacterium. RNAcentral describes it as "partial 16S ribosomal RNA". It matches the Rfam family "Bacterial small subunit ribosomal RNA", at positions 29 to 523 of the family's 1533-position model. The record is from RNAcentral.